ACUCAAAGGAAUUGACGGGGACCCGCACAAGCGGUGGAGCGUGUUGUUUAAUUCGAUGGUAAGCGAAGAACCUUACCCAGGCUUGACAUCCUGCGAAUUUUUUCGAAAGAAAGAAGUGCUUUAUUGAGCGCAGUGACAGGUGUUGCAUGGCCGUCGUCAGCUCGUGUCGUGAGACGUUUGGUUAAGUCCAAUAACGAGCGCAACCCCUUUGUUUAGUUGUAUUUCUCUAAACAGACUGCCCUGGUAACAGGGAGGAAGGAGGGGUCGAAGUCAGGUCAGUAUUACCCUUACGUCUGGGGCUACAAACACGCUACAAUGGCCGGUACAAAGGGCAGCCAACCCGCGAGGGGGAGCAAAUCCCAUCAAAGCCGGUCUCAGUUCGGAUUGCAGGCUGAAACUCGCCUGCAUGAAGCUGGAAUCGCUAGUAACGGUAGGUCAGCACACUACCGUGAAUACGUUCCCGGGUCUUGUACACACCGCCCGU
This 484-nucleotide ribosomal RNA is filed under the name uncultured bacterium. RNAcentral describes it as "partial 16S ribosomal RNA". It matches the Rfam family "Bacterial small subunit ribosomal RNA", at positions 899 to 1397 of the family's 1533-position model. The record is from RNAcentral.